This 465-nucleotide ribosomal RNA is filed under the name Vreelandella stevensii. RNAcentral describes it as "partial 16S ribosomal RNA". It matches the Rfam family "Bacterial small subunit ribosomal RNA", at positions 338 to 795 of the family's 1533-position model. Lineage: Bacteria; Pseudomonadati; Pseudomonadota; Gammaproteobacteria; Oceanospirillales; Halomonadaceae. The record is from RNAcentral.
CCUACGGGGUGCUGCAGUGGGGAAUAUUGGACAAUGGGCGAAAGCCUGAUCCAGCCAUGCCGCGUGUGUGAAGAAGGCCUUCGGGUUGUAAAGCACUUUCAGUGGGGAAGAAAGCCUUGGGGCUAAUACCCUCGAGGAAGGACAUCACCCACAGAAGAAGCACCGGCUAACUCCGUGCCAGCAGCCGCGGUAAUACGGAGGGUGCGAGCGUUAAUCGGAAUUACUGGGCGGACAGCGCGCGUAGGCGGUCUGAUAAGCCGGUUGUGAAAGCCCCGGGCUCAACCUGGGAACGGCAUCCGGAACUGUCAGGCUAGAGUGCAGGAGAGGAAGGUAGAAUUCCCGGUGUAGCGGUGAAAUGCGUAGAGAUCGGGAGGAAUACCAGUGGCGAAGGCGGCCUUCUGGACUGACACUGACGCUGAGGUGCGAAAGCGUGGGUAGCAAACAGGAUUAGAUACCCCUGUAGUC